ACCAGACUCCUACGGGAGGCAGCAGUGGGGGAUAUUGCACAAUGGGGGGAACCCUGAUGCAGCGACGCCGCGUGGGUGAAGAAGUAUUUCGGUAUGUAAAGCCCUAUCGGCAGGGAAGAAAUUGGACGGUACCUGACUAAGAAGCCCCGGCUAACUACGUGCCAGCAGCCGCGGUAAUACGUAGGGGGCAAGCGUUAUCCGGAUUCACUGGGUGUAAAGGGAGCGUAGACGGCCAUGCAAGCCUGGAGUGAAAGCCCGGGGCCCAACCCCGGGACUGCUCUUGGAACUGCGUGGCUGGAGUGCAGGAGGGGCAGGCGGAAUUCCUGGUGUAGCGGUGAAAUGCGUAGAUAUCAGGAGGAACACCGGUGGCGAAGGCGGCCUGCUGGACUGCAACUGACGUUGAGGCCCGAAAGCGUGGGGAGCAAACAGGAUUAGAUACCCUCGUACA
RNAcentral lists this ribosomal RNA (448 nucleotides) under uncultured bacterium. RNAcentral describes it as "bacterial SSU rRNA". It matches the Rfam family "Bacterial small subunit ribosomal RNA", at positions 330 to 794 of the family's 1533-position model. The record is from RNAcentral.